RNAcentral lists this ribosomal RNA (397 nucleotides) under Neohelix albolabris. RNAcentral describes it as "partial 16S ribosomal RNA". It matches the Rfam family "Archaeal large subunit ribosomal RNA", at positions 1888 to 2630 of the family's 2987-position model. The record is from RNAcentral. Lineage: Eukaryota; Metazoa; Mollusca; Gastropoda; Stylommatophora; Polygyridae.
UCGCCUGUUUAUCAAAAACAUAGUCCUUGGUUUUAUCAAGGAUGUCUUCUGCUCAGUGAGUUGCUUUAACAGCCGCAGUACCUUGACUGUGCAAAGGUAGCAUAAUCAGUUGGCUUUUAAUUGGAGUCUAGAAUGAACGAAGGAAUGGAGGACGUCUGUCUUAUGUGGAUUAUUAAAAGUUACCUGGGAAGUGCAAAUGCUUCUAGAGAUUAAUUAGACGAGAAGACCCUAGAAAUUUAUAUAUUUAUUUUGUUGGGGCGACAAGGUAACAUUGAAACUUACCUUAUUAUAUUUGGAAUUUAUAAAUAGAAUAAAAAAAUUACUCUAGGGAUAACAGCAUAAUUUUGGGAAAGAUUGUGACCUCGAUGUUGGACUAGGGACGGUAAUAGCUUAGAAA